CAAUAGCGUAUAUUAAAGUUGUUGCAGUUAAAAAGCUCGUAGUUGGACCUUGGACCUGGACAGGCGGUCCGCCUCACGGCGUGUACUGUCUUGCUGGGUCUUUCCUCUUGGUGAUCUGUUGUUUCGGCAGCAGGGAACCAGGACUUUUACUUUGAAAAAAUUAGAGUGUUCAAAGCAGGCUCGACGCCGGAAUAUAUUAGCAUGGAAUAAUAAAAUAGGACGUGCGGUUCUAUUUUGUUGGUUUUUGGAAUCGCCGUAAUGAUUAAUAGGGACAGUCGGGGGCAUUAGUACUCACAUGCUAGAGGUGAAAUUCUUGGAUUUUGUGAAGACUAGCUUCUGCGAAAGCAUUUGCCAAGGAUGUUUUCAUUAA
Molecule: ribosomal RNA, 370 nt
Filed under: uncultured eukaryote
Lineage: Eukaryota
Description: partial 18S ribosomal RNA
Rfam family: Eukaryotic small subunit ribosomal RNA
Source: RNAcentral